RNAcentral lists this long non-coding RNA (4462 nucleotides) under Sus scrofa (pig). RNAcentral's name for it is "lncRNA (ENSSSCG00005045039.1)". The record is from RNAcentral. Lineage: Eukaryota; Metazoa; Chordata; Mammalia; Artiodactyla; Suidae.
GACGCCGUGGGAGGGAGGCUUGUUUAAACUGCGGAUGCUGUUCAAAGACGACUACCCGUCCUCACCGCCGAAAUGUGAGUAGAGCCGAGUCCUCCCAGAUCCCUCAGCGUCGGCCGCAUUCCUCUGGGACCGAGGUCCUCAGAGAGCUUGGGCCUGUGGGGCCUCAGGUAUGUGCCCUGCUCCCCGCAGCUCCAUGGGCGCCCGGGGAACUCAGAACAGGCCCAGCUCCCACCCUGGGGGCCUCCUGGGCCCUUCCUGCCGGCGGAUGAGCUCCCGCCCUGGGCCGGCGUGCGCGCUGAAGGACCGCGGACCAGAGCCGCCCCCCAAGGGGACUUCCUCGCUGGUUGGGGUUUCAGGCCCAAGCUGCCUGUGCAGACGGCAGAGCGGGCGGCGGGAAGAGAGGCCGAGGCUGCGCCUGCGGUUCUGCUGUGGUGGACGCAGUAACCCGUUUACUUAGCGAAACUCGGGAGGGUUCUGUCGCUGGAGAUCCGCACUGGCUGGUGAAUGGAGUGCCCUGGUACCUGCCCUGGCGUGUGGAGGGUGCCUGGCAGGCUGUGAGAGCCUUGACUCGGCUGGCUGGAGAGAAGUGUGCUGUCUUUUAACGGCACAAGCAGACUUUCUGAGACUCACCGCCUUGGAGUGGGGACCGACUUCAUUUCAGGGGGUUCUUUGCUGUUCAGGGCUUUUUGCCACGUGCACGUCUUAGCUUACAGAACGUCUCUGUUUAAGAGAUGAAACGUGGACUUCCCAUUGUGGCUCAUUAGAUUAAGAGCCCAGCAGUUGCCACAGGGAUGCCGGUACAGCCCCACCCAUUGGGUGAAGGAUCUGGCUUGUGGUGAGCUGCGGUGUGAGUUGCUGAUGCGGCUUGGAACUGGCAUGGCUGCGGCUCUGGCUGGGGUGGAGGCCCAGCAGCUGCAGCUCUGAGUCGACCCCUAGCCUGGGACCCUCCAUGUGCCACAGGCACGGCCCUAAAGAGACCAAAAGGAAGAAGGGAUACACACGGUAGCUGCUCUCAUCACUCCCGCUCCACAUUGUGGGGAAUGGCAGGCCCACACAGCCGGGCAAGACAACGAAAUCCCCGCAGCACAAGUGGAAGGAAGACGGGACUGCAAACCAUCUUCCUCCGAGUCUGUCCUAGGGGUGCUGAAUAAAAGACGAAUUUGCAAAAAUCUAUUCAUGUAACUGCAGCAGAUGCAAGCUCCUAAACGCCACCAUUUAAAGCAGCGUCAAACAGCGUGGAUGACAUCCAGCAAGAGACUCUCGAGACUGCUGUGCUGAAGACGAGGCGUCUGUGAGGGCCAGGGGCUGCCUGGGUGCCUGGUGGGUCGGGCCACUGUGCACACGCCCGUUCUCUGGGGCUCUUCUGCAGGUCCAGCCUGACCCUGGUCGCCGUGCCAGCAGCCCUUGGGAACCGUCAGGCAGACUGAGAAGCAGGAAGUGCCCAGAAGAGCCAGGGCUCUGGAGAUGAGGGGGCGGAGCUGGGGCUCAGGCUGCUGCCCGCCCAGUGAGGGGACCCAGGCCGGCCCUGCUCUGGGGACACAGCGACUGAGACACAGUCUGCGCAGCAGAGCCCAGAAAGGCCAUCUGCGUCCGGGGCCUGCAGGUGGCAGGUGGGGCUGCGGGCACGGGGAGGGCGGGCUGGCCCUGACGAGGAGAACGGCUCUUGCGUGGCAUCUCAGUGCCCGGUGGGAAGUACAGCAUCAGGGCUGAGCUGCUGGCCCAGCAGGUUAAAGACCUGGCCUCGCUGCUGUGGCGCAGGUUUGUCCUUGGCCCUGGAACCUUCACAUGGCUGCAGGUGCAGCCGCAGGUGCCCCACUGCCGCCGCAGCCAAAAGAGUGCAGCUUCGGAGCAAGUGGGGGAACCUCUUGCUCAUGUUCGCGGCUGGGCGUUUAACCGGGGAAGCACCUGGAGCACCCCCACUCCCCCGCCGUCACCCCCUUGGGGACAGUGAUGAGCUGACCGAACUGAAAUCAAGACCACCUCGACCGGGAGUCGCCAGCAAGAGUGGAGGGGGCAGCACGCGCUCGUCAGUGAGUUCUCUCCGGUCUGUCCCUGGCAUCGCCUGUCGGGCGGCACACAGCCAGGAGGGGAGGGUGCUGCACCUGGCUCCCGGCCCCAUUUGCGGCCGGAGUGGGAGGGCCCGGCUCAGGGCUCACGUCGGUUCCGAACUCUCCCCCGGAAGUCUCUGGCUCGUCUGCUGCGGCCACCCUGGGACCCGGUGCUCAUGGAGGAGCCCAGGUGUCGUGCCGAAUGGACAGGUCAGCAGCGGACCAUCUGUGGCACAGGCGAGAGGCUCUGAAGUGUCCCCCAGAUGCUGAGGCGCUCACGCGGGGCGUCGGCAGGCCAAGCAACGACGGGCAGUGUUGGGAGUCGAGAGGUGACUUCCUGGCGCGCCCACCCCUCCCGAGCUGGGGGUGGGGUGGGGCGGUGCCGCUGCCCAUCCAGCACCUUCUCUGGGUGGGGACAAGAAUGAUGUCUCAGGUUAUAUUUGGGUUGGGAACUGGUGUUCACGGAAAGGCACCAGAGGUUUCACCAAAAGUGAAAGAAAAAGAUGAACUCUGUGUAGGAGAAGGCGUUUGGGAGGCAGAUAACUGACAACGGACCUGCGUCCCGCGUGUGUAAGGAGUGUCGACAAGAAAAGCAUGCAAGGUUUGAGCAAGGAAGCAGUCACCGCAUCGCAGGGAGUGAAAGAGGAUCCAGAAAACGCAAAGCAGAACCGCAAGAGUGGCCGAAUGCCAUGACUGAACCACGGGUGCUGGCAGCAUCUUGGCGCUGUACACUGGCACAGCCGUUGGAAAGCAGUGGUGUCUGCAGUUUCAGCAGAGACCCCGUGCAAGCCAGUGUCUUCCCGUAGAAGUGCGCACACACUGGCAUUCCCGUCAUGGCUCACUAGAGACAAAUCUGAUGAGUAUCCAUGAGGACACCGGUUUGAUCCCUGGCCUUACUUAGUGGGUUAAGGAUCUGACGUUGCUGUGAGCUGUUGAGUGGGUCGCAGACACAGUUCAGAUCCGUGUGGCUGUGGUGUAGGCUGGCAGCUAAAACUCUGAUUCAACCCCUAGCCUGGGAACCUCCAUACGCCAUGGGUGCGGCCCUUAAAAAAAAAAAAAAAAAAUGCGCACACAUCAGGAUUUGCCUCGAGGGACGUGCACAGCUUUGUUGUGGCUCAGAUGCGCCCCUGCGGCGGGCGCUGUGGGCAAGUCCUCGGCACAGCUUCCCCCAACAAGGCCCGCACAGCACGGGUGUGGGAACUGCACACAUGACCCUGAGAGCCAGGAGUCCUCGGGGGGUUGCGAGCUGGGGUGACAGGACAGGCAGGGUGGUGUGUGAUGGGGGGAGUUUUCUUGAAGCUGCUGGUGUGAGCAGGUGAGUUUGUUUUUGUCAGUCCAUCAAGCUGUGCUACACCUGCUGCACUAAAGUGACAAGGGGAAGGUGCCCCAGAUGGGAACAAGGAAGCCUGAGCCGAGUCAGUGUCCGUGAGAGAGAACACGGGGUCCUUACCGCCUCUGUCGCGACGCAGGAUGAUCUGCCUUGAAAACAACCGCUCGCUUCGAAGGGCCUCUGAGCCUCUGCCUGGAGGCCCCCAGGACGCUCGCCUCGGCCCCUUCCCAUCCUCCCGAGUCGAAGACUGCCUGCCGCGUCCCGGGAGGACAGGCAAGUUCGAGCCGCCGUUAUUCCACCCGAACGUGUACCCUUCGGGCACGGUGUGCCUGUCCAUCCUGGAGGAGGACAAGGACUGGAGGCCGGCCAUCACGAUUAAGCAGAUCUUGUUAGGAAUACAGGAACUUCUAAAUGAACCAAAUAUCCAAGAUCCAGCUCAAGCAGAGGCCUACACGAUCUACUGCCAAAACAGAGUGGAAUACGAGAAAAGGGUUCGAGCACAAGCCAAGAAGUUUGCUCCCUCAUAAGCAGCGACCUUGUGGCAUCAUGAAAAGGAAGGGAUUGGUUUGGCAAGAACUUGUUUACAGCAUUUGGCGAAUCUCACGUUGCUCUCUGCAAUCCUGGUCACCCGGGGAGGGUUGGGCGGGCGCCAUUGCCAUUUCCGCCACGGGCACAGUCUCGACUCGCAGAAUCGCCCCGUUUUUCAUACAGGGUCUCUUCCUUCAGUCUUUUGUAUUUUUGAUUGUUAUGUAAAACUUGCUUUUAUUUUAAUAUUGAUGUCAGUAUUUCAACUGCUGUAAAAUUAUAAACUUUUAUACUUGGAUGAGUCCCGAGGAGCUAGUCCCCUUUGCUCGCGGAUGCAGGCAUGCUUCACACCGUCUAGAGCUGCACUUAGCCUCCAGCUGGCUGCACGACAGAAAAUCAGACCUGCCCCCGCCGCCGCCGCCCUCCCAGAGCCUGGCUUGUGUUGCUUACGAGCCUCGGAUCCAGUCAGCCAGCGUCGCGUCUCCGCAUCACUUCCUUUGUGUUUAUAUGGCGUUUGUCUGUGUUGCUGUUUAGAGUAAAUAAACUGUUUAUAUAAAGG